CCUACGGGAGGCUGCAGUGAGGAAUAUUGGUCAAUGGACGAGAGUCUGAACCAGCCAAGUAGCGUGAAGGAUGACUGCCCUAUGGGUUGUAAACUUCUUUUAUAUGGGAAUAAAACGUUCCACGUGUGGGAUUUUGUAUGUACCAUAUGAAUAAGGAUCGGCUAACUCCGUGCCAGCAGCCGCGGUAAUACGGAGGAUCCGAGCGUUAUCCGGAUUUAUUGGGUUUAAAGGGAGCGUAGGUGGAUUGUUAAGUCAGUUGUGAAAGUUUGAGGCUCAACCGUAAAAUUGCAGUUGAAACUGGCAGUCUUGAGUACAGUAGAGGUGGGCGGAAUUCGUGGUGUAGCGGUGAAAUGCUUAGAUAUCACGAAGAACUCCGAUUGCGAAGGCAGUUCACUGGACUGCAACUGACACUGAGGCUCGAAAGUGUGGGUAUCAAACAGGAUUAGAUACCCCAGUAGUC
RNAcentral lists this ribosomal RNA (460 nucleotides) under uncultured bacterium. RNAcentral describes it as "partial 16S ribosomal RNA". It matches the Rfam family "Bacterial small subunit ribosomal RNA", at positions 338 to 795 of the family's 1533-position model. The record is from RNAcentral.